AUCGUAGUGGAAGAGAAGAGAGGGAGAAACAGGAGUUCCUUUCAGCUUCAUCUCUUAGAGUAUCAUGGCUGACGAGGAACAGCAGUUCCUCCCAUAUGUACAAGAGACGGUAUUGAAGAAAAG
This is a long non-coding RNA of Telopea speciosissima, 123 nucleotides long. RefSeq lists it as uncharacterized. The record is from RefSeq and is a predicted model, not a curated record. Lineage: Eukaryota; Viridiplantae; Streptophyta; Magnoliopsida; Proteales; Proteaceae. The transcript is spliced from 2 exons.